GACGAACGCUGGCGGCGUGCUUAACACAUGCCAGUCGAACGGAAAGGCCCUGCUUUUGUGGGGUGCUCGAGUGGCGAACGGGUGAGUAACACGUGAGUAACCUGCCCUUGACUUUGGGAUAACUUCAGGAAACUGGGGCUAAUACCGGAUAGGAGCUCCUGCUGCAUGGUGGGGGUUGGAAAGUUUCGGCGGUUGGGGAUGGACUCGCGGCUUAUCAGCUUGUUGGUGGGGUAGUGGCUUACCAAGGCUUUGACGGGUAGCCGGCCUGAGAGGGUGACCGGCCACAUUGGGACUGAGAUACGGCCCAGACUACUACGGGAGGCAGCAGUGGGGAAUAUUGCACAAUGGGCGGAAGCCUGAUGCAGCAACGCCGCGUGCGGGAUGACGGCCUUCGGGUUGUAAACCGAUUUCGCCUGUGACGAAGCGUGAGUGACGGUAAUGGGUAAAGAAGCACCGGCUAACUACGUG
Molecule: ribosomal RNA, 468 nt
Filed under: uncultured bacterium
Lineage: Bacteria
Description: partial 16S ribosomal RNA
Rfam family: Bacterial small subunit ribosomal RNA
Source: RNAcentral